CAUAAAAUAUAAAUGAAUUUUAUUUAUGAAUGUAUAGAUGUACAGCAAAUAGGAAAGAUAAUACAUUAAAAGAACAUAUACUAUAACCAGGUAGAGUUUUAUCUCAGGAAUUUAAGGAUGUUUUAAUAUUACAAAAACCCUUAUUAUAAUCAUAUUAGGCAAUUUAAGUGAUAAAAAUUUGAUUGUAUCAAAAGACACCAAUUCCUUUUAUCAAGCUUUUAGCUUCCAACAAACAAGAAUAGAAGAUGUUAUUUCUGUUAUCCUAACAAAGAACAUUUGUUUAAAACCAACAAUUAACUUCAUAUGUAAUGAAAAAAUAUCAAAAAAACUUAUUACAAUUUUAUGAAACACAAAAACAAAAUAGAAAUACCUAUGAUUUUAUAUUUAGAAAGAGCAAACAGGCCAUCUAAAACUGUUAGAACAAAGAAAAUCACCAAAAGAUACAUAUUUUAAAAGUUAAUAGCUUUCUAAUAAUAGAGAUUCCCAUGCUGACAGCAACAUAGAUAUAAAACAGCCAAGAAAGAAUUAAUUAAGGUAUAUAUAAAACCUAGACAAAAAGAAGAACCAAGUAUAAUGAAAAAAAUCAAGAAACAUGACAAUAAUGGAGACUAAAUCCCUCGAUGGAAAGAAUUAUAAUCAUAAAUGUAAGCCUUAAAGAGUUAACUUUAGAUGUAGACAAGUCAAACUGAAGCACUAAAAACAUGUUGACCUUAUAUAACACAUUCCUUAGGGGGAAAAAAAGAUUUUUUAAUAUUGGAAAAAAUAUGGUUAGGCAUAGUGGCUCAUGCCUGUAAUCCCAGCACAUUCAGAGGCCAAGGCGGGAGGACUGCUUGAGCUUAGGAGUUCAAGACCAGCCUGGGCAACAUAGUGAGACCUUGUCUCUACUAAAAACCUAAAAAGAUUAGCUGAGUAUGGUGGCAUGCACCUAUAGUCCCGGCUACUAGGGAAGCUGAGGCAAGAGGAUGGCUUGAGCCUGAGAAAUCAAGGCUGCAGGGAGCUGUAAUUGUGCCCUGCACUCCAGCCUGGGCAACAGAGUGAGACCCUGUCUCAAAAAAACGUCGGAGAAGGAGGAAAAACAAUGAAGACCAAUAUGCUACUGAUUCACAUGGAUUCAAAUACAAAGUAUAAUCCAUUAUAUGGCAAAAAAUAUGUCUUCACUACCAAGUUUUACAAAUACCACCCUACAUGAUGAGGACCAAGGAAGGUUUCAGCAGGAAAAAAGCCAUAUGAUUAGCUUUGUUUUCAAAAUGUCAGGCAGCCAGAUGGAAGGCAGGAGAAGUGAAGAGUGGUAAGGAGACCAGUGAAAUCCACAAACGCUUAUUCUAUUAAAGAUUAAAACAGGGCUACCAUCACUGCAGUGGGAACAGGGCACCUUUUACCAAAAACUCCCAUAACAGAUGACUUGAAAACCACUGAGUUUAUGCAUCUGUAGGAUAUAUGCAGGAAGAUGAUGAGGGUUUGAAACAAGGCAGUAUGUACAGGGUGGAAAGAAAGGGGCAGAGAAGGAUAAAUAUUUGAAAGGUUUUUGAGGGGAAGAAACUCUCCAACACUGGGUAACCAAUUUGACAAAGGGAACAAGGAGAAAAAAAAGUAUAGGACAAUUUACAGCUUUUUGUCUAUGUCAUUAGGUAGAUAGUGGUGACAUUCAAAAAUAAGGAAAUAAAAGCAGGAACAAGACUAAAGGAAAAUUCAUAAUUCAAUUUAGAAUACAUUGAAUUUGUAGAGUCUACAGACAUGCGACUUGACAUCAAAAACCCCGAUAAAUUACCAAAGAAAACUCUUUUCCAACUAUAAUGCGAUAACUUUCUAACAGCUUAAUCAUGAGUGAAAAUCAGAGAAAGGCAUGGUUAUAUAAAAUAUUUUACAGAAUGAAUACCAACAAAACUAAGAUUAAAGUAGACUAUUAUAGAAUUGAAUAAAAUACUGCAACAAAGAUGACAGAGGACCAAUAACAUCACAUAUAAAAGCAUAAUGAUAAGAUAUAAAAACAGAACAUAAACAAGUAAAGGUCCAGCAAGUCUCUCAAUGUAAAGGAAAUGCAUUUAUACCCUACACUGUUUCCAUUAAAGAUUUAAGAUAGCUUACUACAAAAAUAUACAUAGUAAAAUGGUAAGUGUAAAUAAUAGUAAUAAUUAAAUGUAAAAAUUUUUUUAAUUAUCACCAGGAGAAAUCUGGACUAGAAAAAAAGAAACAAAAUAUGCAGAGCAUAAGGGCUUUCAGAAAUAUCGUUGACAAUGAAAGUAAAAAGCUCAACACAAGUGGCAUGACUCUUAUUAUCCAUUAGGAGAAAACACAGCCAUUUCUCACUUUAAAAAGGACAUUUUUGCUUUUUCCCUCAAUUGAAAAGAUAGCAUUUCAUGAUAAAAAUUUCUCUACAUUAAUUUAGCUUUAUGAAAACUUAUUACAUUGUCUCUGUUUCUCAAAUGUUAUGUUACUGCAGGACAGUUGAAUUUAAAAACAACAACAACACUUUACACAGUGACAUUUGAGGAUGACUACAAUAAACAGAACAAAAAAAUUAAUUGCAUAAAGCUGCUUCUUGUGGUACCCCUUGAUGAAAAUAAACCACAAAAUACUGAAAUGUAACUCAAUGAACACAGCUGGGUAGGUGGAGAGCAGGGAGGAAGGGAGAAGGGAGAAAGGGGAAAGGGAACAUGAAGUGGGUGAGGUAUACAGACUUCUGAUGGUCCUUUCAUGAAAAUUUGAGGCCUCGUUAAAGGCUGUCCCACAUCAGCAUAGAUGAGGGCCCCAUUAAUAAAAGGCCAAAUAUAAAAUGAAAAAAUAAGAACAAUCAGAAAGCAGACACCAGAAAACUAUUCACUCAUACAUAUAUUUUUAAAAAUGCAAAUGACAGUAUCCUUUAGCAUCUAUAAGCUAAGCAAAAG
Molecule: long non-coding RNA, 2885 nt
Filed under: Homo sapiens (human)
Lineage: Eukaryota; Metazoa; Chordata; Mammalia; Primates; Hominidae
Description: HSALNT0129707
Source: RNAcentral